UACGAAGGGGGCUAGCGUUGUUCGGAAUUACUGGGCGUAAAGGGCGCGUAGGCGGCGCUACAAGUCAGGUGUGAAAGCCCUGGGCUCAACCCGGGAAUUGCACUUGAUACUGUAGUGCUUGAGUUCGGGAGAGGUGAGUGGAAUUCCCAGUGUAGAGGUGAAAUUCGUAGAUAUUGGGAAGAACACCAGUGGCGAAGGCGGCUCACUGGACCGACACUGACGCUGAGGCGCGAAAGCGUGGGGAGCAAACAGG
RNAcentral lists this ribosomal RNA (253 nucleotides) under uncultured bacterium. Its description in RNAcentral is "partial 16S ribosomal RNA". It matches the Rfam family "Bacterial small subunit ribosomal RNA", at positions 524 to 776 of the family's 1533-position model. The record is from RNAcentral.